RNAcentral lists this ribosomal RNA (793 nucleotides) under uncultured bacterium. RNAcentral describes it as "bacterial SSU rRNA". It matches the Rfam family "Bacterial small subunit ribosomal RNA", at positions 559 to 1370 of the family's 1533-position model. The record is from RNAcentral.
CGUAAAGCGUUUGUAGGCGGGCAAAUAAGUCUACUGUUAAAUCUUGAGGCUUAACCUCAAAAUCGCAGUCGAAACUAUUAGACUAGAGUAUGGUAGGGGUAAAGGGAAUUCCCAGUGUAGCGGUGAAAUGCGUAGAUAUUGGGAAGAACACUAAACAGCGAAGGCACUUUACUAGGCUAAUACUGACGCUGAGAAACGAAAGGUAAGGUAGCGAAACGGAUUAGAUACCCGUGUAGUCUUACCCGUAAACUAUGGACACUAAACGGUAAAUUUUUAAUUUACUGUUAAAGCUAACGCGUUAAGUGUCCCGCCUGGGGUGUAUGCUUGUAAAAGUGAAACUCAAAGGAAUUGACGGGGGCCCGCACAAGCGGAGGAGCAUGUGGUUUAAUUCGACGGUACACGAAGAACCUUACCAGGAUUUGACAUGCUAGAUAGUUGCUUGAAAGAGUAACGUGCCGUAAGGAAUCUAGACACAGGUGGUGCAUGGCUGUCGUCAGUUCGUUUUGUGAAAUGUUGGGUUAAGUCCCGCAACGAACGCAACCCAUGUCUUUAGUUAUUUUCUAAAGAGACUGCCUGUAAUAAACGGGAGGAAGGUAAGGAUGAGGUCAAGUCAUCAUGCCCCUUAUGUCCUGGGCUUCACACGUGCUACAAUGGGAAAGUCAAUGAGCUGCAAAUCUGUAAAUUUAAGCAAAUCUCUUAAACUUUCUCGUAGUUCGGAUGGUGGGCUGCAACUCGCCCACAUGAAGUUGGAAUCGCUAGUUAUCGAGCGGUCAGCUAUAUGGCGGUGAAUCCG